RNAcentral lists this small RNA (511 nucleotides) under Pongo abelii (Sumatran orangutan). RNAcentral's name for it is "processed transcript". The record is from RNAcentral. Lineage: Eukaryota; Metazoa; Chordata; Mammalia; Primates; Hominidae.
ACACUUCCCCCUCUUCUGCAGCAGACGGACUGAGUUCCUCUAAUCCCUGUGUUCCUUCUCCCCCAUCUUUCUAAAACCCUUCUCUGAGAGAGGAAUAACUAUAGCUUCGGGGAUAAUAUAGCUUUAAGGAAAUUUUGGCAGAUGUGGACGUCGUAACAUCUGGGCAGUGUUAACAGAAUCCCGGAGGCCGGGACAGACCAGGAGCCACUCGUUCUAGGAAUGUUAAAGUAGAAGGUUUUUUCCAAUUGAUGAGAGGAGCAGAGAGGAAGGAGAAAGAGGAGGAGAGAGAAAAAGGGCACAAAAUACCAUAAAACAGGUUCUGGCUACUAUCCGGAUGAAAGCUACAAUGAAGUAUAUGCAGAGGAGGUCCCACAGGCUCCUGCCCUGGACUACCGAGUCCCCCGAUGGUGUUACACAUUAAAUAUCCAGGAUGGAGAAGCCACAUGCUACUCACCGAGGGGAGGAAAUUAUCACAGCAGCCUGGGCACGCGUUGUGAGCUCUCCUGUGACC